UCGAGGAUCUUCGGCAAUGGGCGCAAGCCUGACCGAGCGACGCCGCGUGCGGGAUGAAGGCCUUCGGGUUGUAAACCGCUGUCGUAGAGGAGGAAAUGCAGGGGGGUUCUCCCCUCUGUUUGACCUAUUCUAGGAGGAAGGACGGGCUAAGUUCGUGCCAGCAGCCGCGGUAAGACGAACCGUCCAAACGUUACUCGGAAUUACUGGGCUUAAAGGGUGCGUAGGCUGCGCGGAAAGUUGGGUGUGAAAGCCCUCAGCUCAACUGGGGAAUUGCACUCAAAACUACCGUGCUCGAGGGAGACAGAGGUAAGCGGAACUCAAGGUGGAGCGGUGAAAUGCGUUGAUAUCUUGAGGAACACCGGUGGCGAAAGCGGCUUACUGGGUCUCUUCUGACGCUGAGGCACGAAAGCUAAGGUAGCAAACGGG
Molecule: ribosomal RNA, 426 nt
Filed under: uncultured bacterium
Lineage: Bacteria
Description: bacterial SSU rRNA
Rfam family: Bacterial small subunit ribosomal RNA
Source: RNAcentral